GCCCGCAGUCGGUAGCGCGACACGUUCGCAUCGAGUAGGUCUGGGGUUCGAUUCCCCAUAGCUCCA
RNAcentral lists this transfer RNA (66 nucleotides) under Gordonia sp. UCD-TK1. RNAcentral's name for it is "tRNA-Ala". The record is from RNAcentral. Lineage: Bacteria; Bacillati; Actinomycetota; Actinomycetes; Mycobacteriales; Gordoniaceae.